UUGAUUAAACCAUAAGAGGUCCAGCCUGCCCAGUGACAUUGUUCAACGGCCGCGGUAUCCUAACCGUGCGAAGGUAGCGUAAUCACUUGUCCUUUAAAUGAAGACUAGUAUGAAUGGCCCCACGAAAGCUAUACUGUCUCCUUUUUCUAAUCAGUUAAACUAAUCUCCCCGUGAAGAAGCGGGGAUAAACAUAUAAGACGAGAAGACCCUAUGGAGCUUUAAACAACUGAAACACUUGUAUAUCUCCCUUCACCUACCCACAUUUAACUCCACAUCUUGUUUCUAGUUUUAGGUUGGGGUGACCACGGAGAAAAAACUAACCUCCACGAUGAAAGAGACAUCUCUAAACAAAAAGCUACAUCUUUAUGUAUUAAUACAUUAACCUUUAUUGACCCA
Molecule: ribosomal RNA, 396 nt
Filed under: Anomaloglossus baeobatrachus
Lineage: Eukaryota; Metazoa; Chordata; Amphibia; Anura; Aromobatidae
Description: LSU rRNA
Rfam family: Bacterial large subunit ribosomal RNA
Source: RNAcentral